Molecule: transfer RNA, 72 nt
Rfam family: tRNA
About the family: Transfer RNA (tRNA) molecules are approximately 80 nucleotides in length. Their secondary structure includes four short double-helical elements and three loops (D, anti-codon, and T loops).
Source: Rfam
UGGGGUGUCGCCAAGUGGUAAGGCAACAGGUUUUGGUCCCAAUAUUCAAAGGUUCGAAUCCUUCCAUCCCAG